AGUGAACGCUGGCGGUAGGCCUAACACAUGCAAGUCGAACGGCAGCACAGUAAGAGCUUGCUCUUACGGGUGGCGAGUGGCGGACGGGUGAGGAAUACAUCGGAAUCUACUUUUUCGUGGGGGAUAACGUAGGGAAACUUACGCUAAUACCGCAUACGACCUACGGGUGAAAGCAGGGGAUCUUCGGACCUUGCGCGAUUGAAUGAGCCGAUGUCGGAUUAGCUAGUUGGCGGGGUAAAGGCCCACCAAGGCGACGAUCCGUAGCUGGUCUGAGAGGAUGAUCAGCCACACUGGAACUGAGACACGGUCCAGACUCCUACGGGAGGCAGCAGUGGGGAAUAUUGGACAAUGGGCGCAAGCCUGAUCCAGCCAUACCGCGUGGGUGAAGAAGGCCUUCGGGUUGUAAAGCCCUUUUGUUGGGAAGGAAAAGCAGCAGGUUAAUACCCCGCUGUUCUGACGGUACCCAAAGAAUAAGCACCGGCUAACCUCGUG
This 492-nucleotide ribosomal RNA is filed under the name uncultured bacterium. Its description in RNAcentral is "partial 16S ribosomal RNA". It matches the Rfam family "Bacterial small subunit ribosomal RNA", at positions 29 to 507 of the family's 1533-position model. The record is from RNAcentral.